UACGUAGGGUGCGAGCGUUAAUCGGAAUUACUGGGCGUAAAGUGUGCGCAGGCGGCAAAGCAAGUCGAGUGUGAAAGCCCCGGGCUUAACUUGGGAAUUGCGCUCGAAACUACUUUGCUGGAGUGUGGCAGAGGAAGGUGGAAUUCCACGUGUAGCGGUGGAAAUGACGUAGAGGAUGUGGAGGAAUCGACCGAAAUGGGCACCAA
RNAcentral lists this ribosomal RNA (206 nucleotides) under uncultured bacterium. Its description in RNAcentral is "partial 16S ribosomal RNA". It matches the Rfam family "Bacterial small subunit ribosomal RNA", at positions 524 to 724 of the family's 1533-position model. The record is from RNAcentral.